RNAcentral lists this ribosomal RNA (468 nucleotides) under uncultured bacterium. RNAcentral describes it as "partial 16S ribosomal RNA". It matches the Rfam family "Bacterial small subunit ribosomal RNA", at positions 28 to 507 of the family's 1533-position model. The record is from RNAcentral.
GACGAACGCUGGCGGCGUGCUUAACACAUGCAAGUCGAACGGAAAGGCCCUGCUUUUGUGGGGUGCUCGAGUGGCGAACGGGUGAGUAACACGUGAGUAACCUGCCCUUGACUUUGGGAUAACUUCAGGAAACUGGGGCUAUUACCGGAUAGGAGCUCCUCCUCCUUGGUGGGGGUUGGAAAGUUUCGGCGGUUGGGGAUGGACUCGCGGCUUAUCAGCUUGUUGGUGGGGUAGUGGCUUACCAAGGCUUUGACGGGUAGCCGGCCUGAGAGGGUGACCGGCCACAUUGGGACUGAGAUACGGCCCAGACUCCUACGGGAGGCAGCAGUGGGGAAUAUUGCACAAUGGGCGGAAGCCUGAUGCAGCAACGCCGCGUGCGGGAUGACGGCCUUCGGGUUGUAAACCGCUUUCGCCUGUGACGAAGCGUGAGUGACGGUAAUGGGUAAAGAAGCACCGGCUAACUACGUG